Molecule: ribosomal RNA, 444 nt
Filed under: uncultured bacterium
Lineage: Bacteria
Description: bacterial SSU rRNA
Rfam family: Bacterial small subunit ribosomal RNA
Source: RNAcentral
CACUGUCACUCCUACGGGAGCAGCAGUGGGAAUCUUAGACAAUGGGCGCAAGCCUGAUCUAGCCAUGCCGCGUGAGUGACGAAGGCCUUAGGGUCGUAAAGCUCUUUCGCCAGAGAUGAUAAUGACAGUAUCUGGUAAAGAAACCCCGGCUAACUCCGUGCCAGCAGCCGCGGUAAUACGGAGGGGUUAGCGUUGUUCGGAAUUACUGGGCGUAAAGCGCACGUAGGCGGAUUGGAAAGUUGGGGUGAAAUCCCAGGGCUCAACCCUGGAACUGCCUCCAAAACUCCCAGUCUGGAGUUCGAGAGAGGUGAGUGGAAUUCCGAGUGUAGAGGUGAAAUUCGUAGAUAUUCGGAGGAACACCAGUGGCGAAGGCGGCUCACUGGCUCGAUACUGACGCUGAGGUGCGAAAGUGUGGGGAGCAAACAGGAUUAGAUACCCUGGUAG